CCAGACUCCUACGGGAGGCAGCAGUGGGGGAUAUUGCACAAUGGGCGAAAGCCUGAUGCAGCAACGCCGCGUGAGUGAAGAAGGCCUUCGGGUUGUAAAGCUCUGUCUUUGGGGACGAUAAUGACGGUACCCAAGGAGGAAGCCACGGCUAACUACGUGCCAGCAGCCGCGGUAAUACGUAGGUGGCAAGCGUUGUCCGGAUUUACUGGGCGUAAAGGAUGCGUAGGUGGAUAUUUAAGUCAGAUGUGAAAUACCCGAGCUUAACUUGGGUGCUGCAUUUGAAACUGGAUAUCUAGAGUGCAGGAGAGGUAAGUGGAAUUCCUAGUGUAGCGGUGAAAUGCGUAGAGAUUAGGAAGAACACCAGUGGCGAAGGCGACUUACU
RNAcentral lists this ribosomal RNA (382 nucleotides) under uncultured bacterium. RNAcentral describes it as "bacterial SSU rRNA". It matches the Rfam family "Bacterial small subunit ribosomal RNA", at positions 331 to 730 of the family's 1533-position model. The record is from RNAcentral.